GACGAACGCUGGCGGCGUGCUUAACACAUGCAAGUCGAACGAAGAGCGAUGGAAGCUUGCUUCUAUCAAUCUUAGUGGCGAACGGGUGAGUAACGCGUAAUCAACCUGCCCUUCAGAGGGGGACAACAGUUGGAAACGACUGCUAAUACCGCAUACGAUCUGACCUCGGCAUCGAGGAUAGAUGAAAGGUGGCCUCUACAUGUAAGCUAUCACUGAAGGAGGGGAUUGCGUCUGAUUAGCUAGUUGGAGGGGUAACGGCCCACCAAGGCGAUGAUCAGUAGCCGGUCUGAGAGGAUGAACGGCCACAUUGGGACUGAGACACGGCCCAGACUCCUACGGGAGGCAGCAGUGGGGAAUCUUCCGCAAUGGACGAAAGUCUGACGGAGCAACGCCGCGUGAGUGAUGACGGCCUUCGGGUUGUAAAGCUCUGUUAAUCGGGACGAAAGGCCUUCUUGUGAAUAGUGAGAAAGGAUU
RNAcentral lists this ribosomal RNA (474 nucleotides) under Veillonella parvula. RNAcentral's name for it is "bacterial SSU rRNA". It matches the Rfam family "Bacterial small subunit ribosomal RNA", at positions 28 to 474 of the family's 1533-position model. Lineage: Bacteria; Bacillati; Bacillota; Negativicutes; Veillonellales; Veillonellaceae. The record is from RNAcentral.